GACGAACGCUGGCGGCGUGCUUAACACAUGCAAGUCGAGCGAUGAAGUUCCUUCGGGAAUGGAUUAGCGGCGGACGGGUGAGUAACACGUGGGUAACCUGCCUCAUAGAGGGGAAUAGCCUUUCGAAAGGAAGAUUAAUACCGCAUAAGAUUGUAGUUUCGCAUGAAACAGCAAUUAAAGGAGUAAUCCGCUAUGAGAUGGACCCGCGUCGCAUUAGCUAGUUGGUGAGGUAACGGCUCACCAAGGCGACGAUGCGUAGCCGACCUGAGAGGGUGAUCGGCCACAUUGGGACUGAGACACGGCCCAGACUCCUACGGGAGGCAGCAGUGGGGAAUAUUGCACAAUGGGGGAAACCCUGAUGCAGCAACGCCGCGUGAGUGAUGACGGUCCUCGGAUUGUAAAACUCUGUCUUCAGGGACGAUAAUGACGGUACCUGAGGAGGAAGCCACGGCUAACUACGUGCCAGCAGCCGCCGCAG
RNAcentral lists this ribosomal RNA (478 nucleotides) under uncultured bacterium. RNAcentral describes it as "partial 16S ribosomal RNA". It matches the Rfam family "Bacterial small subunit ribosomal RNA", at positions 28 to 523 of the family's 1533-position model. The record is from RNAcentral.